AACAAACGCUGGCGGCGUGCCUAAUACAUGCAAGUCGAACGGGGAAAGUAGCAAUAUGAGUACUAGUGGCGCACGGGUGAGUAAUGCAUGGGUAAUCUGCCCUCAAGCUGGGGAUAACCGGUCGAAAGACUGGCUAAUACCGAAUGAGACCACAAGAACUGAGGUUCUAGGGGUUAAAGGUUUUUCGCUUGAGGAUGAGCCCAUGUGGGAUUAGCUAGUUGGUGAGGUAAUGGCUCACCAAGGCGACGAUCCCUAACUGGUCUUAGAGGAUGAUCAGUCACACUGGAACUGAGACACGGUCCAGACUCCUACGGGAGGCAGCAGUAGGGAAUAUUGCGCAAUGGGGGAAACCCUGACGCAGCGACGCCGCGUGAGUGAUGAAGGCCUUCGGGUCGUAAAGCUCUGUCGUAUGGGACUAACAAAAUGAAGGUACCAUGCAAGAAAGGAUCGGCUAACUUCGUGCCAGCAGCCGCGGUAA
RNAcentral lists this ribosomal RNA (478 nucleotides) under uncultured bacterium. Its description in RNAcentral is "partial 16S ribosomal RNA". It matches the Rfam family "Bacterial small subunit ribosomal RNA", at positions 29 to 523 of the family's 1533-position model. The record is from RNAcentral.